RNAcentral lists this long non-coding RNA (4614 nucleotides) under Zostera marina. RNAcentral's name for it is "long non-coding RNA (ZMAR_LNC005514)". Lineage: Eukaryota; Viridiplantae; Streptophyta; Magnoliopsida; Alismatales; Zosteraceae. The record is from RNAcentral.
UGCCUAUACAUAGGUGGAAACCUAUGCACUUGGUCAUCAAAGAAACAAUCUACAAUUUCUAGAUCAAGCGUUGAAUCAGAGUAUAGAGCUCUGGCUUCACUAGCUACUGAGAUUAGAUGAUCUACAUUUAUAUGUAGAGAUUUAGGGUAUUGAUAGAUCAUGUUCUUUUGAUAUUAUGUGACAAUAUUUCAGCCAUGUUUAUGGUAAAUAAUCCGGUGAUCAAACAGAGGUCCAAACAUAUUGAAACUGACAUACAUUUUGUUAGAGAAUUGAUCACUAAGAGCCAACUUCAGUUAAAACAUAUAUGUUCCUCACUUCAGUUGAUUGAUUUGUUUACCAAAGUUGUGACUUCUGACAUUUAUGUAAGAUUAGGUAGAAAUCUCAAGAUUAAUUUUAGUUUAUAGGUGUUAGUCAUCUUUCUUCCCUCUAAAUUUCAAAAGUUCUUCAAUGCACAAUUUCUGCCUAUACUAGUGUAGAACCUGUACAGAGUCAGGUAAUGAACAGAUAGGAUGUGGGAGAUAAAGUUUACUAAAAUUAAAAAUGCAUGUCAUUAUUAAAAUUAACAAUUGGAAUGAGAUAUGGAUGUUUGUUCUUACCUUUUUCUUUCUCGUUUUGUCCUACAAUUCUGCUCUACGUUGAAUGAUGAUUCCUGAUGCUCAAUUAAUAUAAUUUUGCUGAAUGAUAUAUGCAUUACGAUCAAUUUCAGAUAUUAAGAAAAGUUUCGGAAUAUGUGGAUUGAUUCUGUUGAUAAAUAAUAUCGAUUGUUUUUGAUACUGCACUAUGCUUGCUUUUCAGAUUAUGAUUAGCUCAAGCAAAGUACAGAACUUGGCUGGAAAUGAUAAAUGAUAAGUUUUUAUCUCAAUCGAUCCAUUUAUUUAUGAAGAUCAUCGACUUGGAAGAAGAAGAGUUAUCCAUCCAAAUCUCAAUCAAAAGAUCAAAGAUGGAUGAAGAAGAAAUCCUGAAUAAUCAAGAUGGUCUCCUAAAACUUCCAUUCUUCAUCAGCACUAUGUCGUUCAGAUCACCUGCUCAACAAAAAUAUUAUGCUGUGAUCAACAAGCAACGUAUUUUUUCAGAAGAAAGAGUAAGGUUUGAUCUGAUCAACAUCAAAGAAAUGGAGCUUCUUCUAGCACACAAUGGUGUAGUGAGAUUCAUGGAGAACAUUCAUCAAGAGAUCUUCGACUCUGAAGUAAACCAAUAGUAUGCUAACUUAGAGCAAGUACCAAACUCCAUGGCUAUCUCCACGAGAGUCAACCAUAGAGAUCUAAAUAUUAGAAUCCCUAUGUCGUUGGACUGAACUCCUGAUCUCCUUAGUCGUUGGACUAAACUUCCAAAUAUUAGAAUCCUUGUUCAUAAUUUAAGAUCACUGGAUGAUCUUCCAUUCAAGGUUACUACUGAAGAUCUAUGGAUCACCCUGACUAAUAGAUACUCUUCUCUGGUGUCACCCAAGAUCACAACUCAAUCUCUCUCAGCCAUGGCAUAUGUGAUGAUCAAGUUACUCCACAAAAGCAUUUGCUCUAUGGCAGGAAAUUGUGUUAAACCAAGCAUAACUAUGAAGGUUAUUCUAUUUUGUGUGAUUAAGAAGAUUCAAAUCAACUGGACUGAGCUACUCCUUUACAACAUGGAGCAAAGCAAAAUAAAUGGAUCGGUGAGACACUACCCACGACUCAUCAACAAGCUACUUGGUCCAGAGUACUUUGAUGCUCCAAAUGUUCAGCCUCCAGCAAGUGCACCACUUUAUUCAGUCACUGGUGCAUCACUCAGGAAUAAGCAUUUGAAUCAUUUCUCAACCUCAAUGGAAGAUGACACACACAACUCUGAAGCUAUCCAUGAUCAUGUCAGGAAUCUCUGCCAGAGAAGGUCAGAUCCUCACCAUGAAUGAUAUCAGUCUACUAUCAGAUCAAAAUAAUGUAAGAAGAGAUGAGAUUGUAGCACAGACCAAGAGCAUGAUAGAUCAAAUUGGGAGGAAUCAAAGAAGCAUGGUUGAAGUCAUACAAGCCAUCCUACAUAAGUUAGGAAUGGAUUAGAACAAUCGUCCAUGUUGACGUUAAGCUUUUGUUAGAACAUUGAUCUAUGAUCAUGUUCUGAAAAACAAACCCACGAUUUGUUUAAUGGUUAUUUAGUUAAAACAAUGCUUUUACUAUGCUUUGAGAUUACUACUUUGAUAUUAUUGCUACUGUUUGUUUGUUGUUAACUAAAUUAUGGUAAGUGUGUUUUGGUAUGAUUUGAUCUUUACUUACUAUGCUAUGAGUUUCAACUAAAUCAUGCCAUAUGCCCUGAUCAGUGCUAUACUACUCUGUUGGUAUCCAUAUAUGUAAGUUGAAAUGUCAUAACCAUUUACUACUUAUCAUUCCCUGAUUUAACUAAAACAUGUCAUAUGCCUAAGAUUAUCUAUUAAAAUGCCUAGAUCAUUGCUUAUCUACUAGUCUUUGAUUUAUAACUGAAUCAUGCUUUGAUAUGCCUUGAUCAAUACUAAUACAUGCUACUACUCUUCUAUAACUGAAUCAUGUUUUAAUAUGCCUUGAUCAAUACUCAUACAUGCUACUACUCUUUUAUAACUGAAUUAUCUAUAAGAGUUGAAAUUGCUAAGAUCGUUGCUUAUACAGGCUAAGAUCAUUGCUUAUUAGAGACAACUUCACCGGCUGCUGCCAAAGAGUCAGUUAAAGAUGUUACUUUGAUUAUGAAAUCCCUAAUCGAUUCAUUUUCCCUUUUCUUUAAAAUUCUUAGUUCAUCCCGAUUGCUUGCUGAUGUACUGCCUUCCUUGGUGAUAAAUGCAAUUAUAGUUUCUACUCACGUCGUACUGUGGUUCAUUACCAAUGAAAACAUCGGUGGUCCAACUGAAGAUUGAAUCCAUCCCAAUACUGCCAAGUCCUUUUCUAACCAUAUCUCAUGAGCUGAAUUAGGUGAGCCGUCACCUCUCUUUUCAGGAGGAAUUUCUUGUUUGUCAUCUACAAUAUCAGAAACAUGAUUCAACCGGAAUAAAUUCUCCAUUUGACCUCUCCAAAACAGAUAUGUUGAUGCUCCUUCUAGCGGAGUUCUAAUCCAGUAGGAGACUUGACAUUUAUAUAGAGAAUCGAGGAGAGUAGCUUUAUCAUGGUUUGCCAUCGGAAGAUCAGAAAAAAUACUGCAGUGAAAAUAAAAACAAAUUUCACCACUGCAGCUUUCUAAAUGAAUCGCAAAUAAAAUGCGAUAAAGAUUUUUUUUUAUUUACUGAAUAUCACUAUUGAUAUAUCAGUAAUCUUACUAAAAAAUAACAAUUAAACAAACAAACAAUCUAAAAAAAAUAUCAACCUAAACAAACUAAACAAUGAGUUUAAUUGUAGCAACAAAACAAAACAAACUCAAUCUGAAAUUAAACUCAAUCGCAACUAAUCACCUAAUAAGCAAUCAAUAGAAAGAAGAAAAAAUAAAUAACUUGCUGACCUGUAAUAGCACUCACAACCUGUAAUCAAAAUUCAAUAGCAGAGAAGAUGAUUAAAAAAAAAAAAUUCUAACCUGUAAUCGCUAACCUGCAGAACACAACUACAAAGAACCUGUAGUUUUCAAAGAACAACUACCAAAAGAAGAAAAAAACUACAAAGCAACUACGCAAUUCAAUUCCAUACAAUAGACUCAGAAUCAGAUCUGUAGUUUAAAGAAGAAAAGAAAAUAUUCGAAAUCUGAACUCUGUGAUUUAAAGAAGAAGGAAAAAAAAUGUGAUAUCUGAAAAUUGUAAAUCGAAAUUGUAAAUCACAUAAUCGAAAUUUGUAAAGAAGAAGAAAUCACAAAUCACAGUUUGUAGAUUUGUAAAUCGAAUCUAUCGAUUUGUAAGGAAGAGACGAAAUCGAAGGAACAAUCUGUCGAUUGUCAAAAAAUUGAAAAAACAAUAAGUCGAUUGUCGAACAAUCGAAGAAAAGGGGAAAAAAAACAAAUCGAUCAAGAUCAAAAAGAAAUCAAACUAAAAUUUCAGAAUCAAUCAAAAAAGAAAGAAAUCAAACUAUUUCAGAAUCGAUCAAAAUUUCAGAAUCAAUCAGGCAUCCGAUCGGAAAUAAAUUUCAGAAGCAAAACAGUCGCACACAUAAAUAAAUCUCAUUCGAAUCGGAAAUAUUGCAAGAUCGGCAAGCAUCCGAUCGUGAAAGAUCGCAAAGUCCAAUCGUAAAGUUUAUCAAAUCCAAUCUAAGACUGCAAUCUCAAGAUCUGAAAAUCUAAAAUCAAGAAUCAAACCUGAGAAGAAUCGACGCUGAAGACAAGCGCAGAUCCGACACGAACGCGGGAGAAGCAGAGGUGCUCGCGGGAGGGAUCGUAGUGACUCAGAUGAAUCUGCAACUUCCAGCAAAUCUGCACAUCCAGAAAAAGAAAAAUAAUCGCAAAUCUGCAGAGAAACAAUCACCAAUCGGAAAUCAAAAAUCGCACGGAAUCGCAGAAGAAGACGAUCUCGCAGAGAAAGACGAUCAAUGAAGCUAGAAAACUGAUACCAUCUCAGAAAUGCUUAACAUUGAUUAUCAUUGAAUUGGAAAGAUUAGUUAUUACAACAUAACAAAUAUCCUUUUAUAGGAUUGAGAAUUUACUCAACUAACAGAUUACAUGUUUACCACACUACCCUUGAUGAUUUAACAUUCAAUAGCCAAUACAGUAGCU